AUAUCUCUCCGUACGGGAAGGAUGAGAAGCUUCGACUAAGGUUCGAUUCGAGCGCAGCGAGAACGCGUUGCCGCAGGCAACGACCCGAAGGGCGAAGCGCGCAGCGCUGA
RNAcentral lists this small RNA (110 nucleotides) under Salmonella enterica. RNAcentral's name for it is "partial RtT sRNA". It matches the Rfam family "RtT RNA", at positions 1 to 109 of the family's 130-position model. Rfam says of the family: This family represents a bacterial cis-regulatory element known as RtT RNA. RNAcentral also lists the same sequence under 4 other names. Lineage: Bacteria; Pseudomonadati; Pseudomonadota; Gammaproteobacteria; Enterobacterales; Enterobacteriaceae. The record is from RNAcentral.